AGUGAACGCUGGCGGUAGGCCUAAUACAUGCAAGUCGAACGGCAGCACAGUAAGAGCUUGCUCUUACGGGUGGCGAGUGGCGGACGGGUGAGGCAUACAUCGGAAUCUACUUUUUCGUGGGGGAUAACGUAGGGAAACUUACGCUAAUACCGCAUACGACCUACGGGUGAAAGCAGGGGAUCUUCGCACCUUGCGCGAUUGAAUGAGCCGAUGUCGGAUUAGCUAGUUGGCGGGGUAAAGGCCCACCAAGGCGACGAUCCGUAGCUGGUCUGAGAGGAUGAUCAGCCACACUGGAACUGAGACACGGUCCAGACUCCUACGGGAGGCAGCAGUAGGGAAUAUUGGACAAUGGGCGCAAGCCUGAUCCAGCCAUACCGCGUGAGUGAAGAAGGCCUUCGGGUUGUAAAGCCCUUUUGUUGGGAAAGAAAAGCAGCAGGUGAAUACCCCGCUGUUCUGACGGUACCCAAAGAAUAAGCACCGGCCAACUUCGUG
This 492-nucleotide ribosomal RNA is filed under the name uncultured bacterium. RNAcentral's name for it is "partial 16S ribosomal RNA". It matches the Rfam family "Bacterial small subunit ribosomal RNA", at positions 29 to 507 of the family's 1533-position model. The record is from RNAcentral.